GCAGAAAUGUGCGCAGGAUCUGGAAGAAAAUAAUUUGUCCCUUUUCCUUGAGUGUCAAAAACUCCUGGAGGCAUCUAAACUGUCAGAGAAACUGAUUUCUGAACUGGAGCAUGAAACAACAAGUGGAAGUGAAAUCUUUAUAUGAUCAAAUUGAAGUGCUAAGAGUGGGGCUUUAUAGGGUGCUGAAAGCUCUUGAACUUGAAGCAAAACAGGGGUGUGAAGACAAGGCUGAGCAAGAUCAAAUGCUUCUGAGCCAUGCACUUGACAAGCUACAAGAAACACAAAAUUUUCUCUUUGAGAUGCAAGAUCAAAAUCAACAAUUGGUCAUUGAGAAUACUGUUCUUGUUACUCUGCUUGGACAACUGCGACAAGAGGUGGCAAAUCUUGUGACAGCUAAAAACACUCUUGAUCAGGAGUUGGC
Molecule: unclassified non-coding RNA, 421 nt
Filed under: Hevea brasiliensis (rubber tree)
Lineage: Eukaryota; Viridiplantae; Streptophyta; Magnoliopsida; Malpighiales; Euphorbiaceae
Source: RNAcentral